GCUGCAAGACACUCUGCUUCUGGCUCUGAGCUUUGCCUGUCUUCAGGGAUGGAGCCCCUCCCAAGGCAAGUUCAACUGGGUUCUUUGGCAGCCGAAGUCUACACAGACCCUGCAGGGAGCGGUGGAGAAAAGUUAGAUGUCUGAAGUGUUUUUCAUUGGACCAAAAUCAAAGUGUUGGCUGGGCUACCUUCCCUUCUGGAGACUCUAAGGAAGAAUCCAUUUCCUUGUCUUUUCCAGAUCCUAGAGGCUACCUGCAUUUCUUGGCUUUUAUCCCCAAUCUUCCAUCUUCGGAGCCAGCAACAACAUAUUGAUCAUGAGGGGAGGGCUCACCCCUCACCCGGAGAAGUAGUUAGGAAAGCAAUAUGCGGAAACAAAGCCAUGAAUCUGACAAGAAAUGUACUUAAGAUUGUAUAUAUGGAGAUAAAUACCCAUUGUCCUUUGCACUUUCUGGAUGAUAAAUUAGAAAAGAAAAAUCCAAAGAAUGAAGUUGUGCUAUUUGUCCUCAUUUCUGAUUUGGGAAACUAGAGGAAAUUAAGAUGGGAAAAGACCAUGUGAGGACACAGUGAGAAGGAGACCAUAUGCAAAGCAGGAAGGAAGAUCUCACUGGAACCAAAAACCAGCCCUGCUG
This 628-nucleotide long non-coding RNA is filed under the name Pan troglodytes (chimpanzee). Its description in RNAcentral is "lincRNA". The record is from RNAcentral. Lineage: Eukaryota; Metazoa; Chordata; Mammalia; Primates; Hominidae.